AUACGGAGGGUGCAAGCGUUACUCGGAAUCACUGGGCGUAAAGCGCGCGCAGGCGGCUUGAUAAGUUGGAUGUGAAAACCUACGGCUCAACCGUAGAACUGCAUCCAAAACUGUCAGGCUAGAGUGUGGGAGAGGAAGAUGGAAUUAGUUGUGUAGGGGUAAAAUCCGUAGAGAUAACUAGGAAUACCAAAAGCGAAGGCAAUCUUCUGGAACACUACUGACGCUGAGGCGCGAAGGCGUGGGGAGCAAACAGGAUUAGAAACCCCAGUAGUCC
RNAcentral lists this ribosomal RNA (274 nucleotides) under uncultured bacterium. Its description in RNAcentral is "partial 16S ribosomal RNA". It matches the Rfam family "Bacterial small subunit ribosomal RNA", at positions 523 to 796 of the family's 1533-position model. The record is from RNAcentral.